GUCCAGGUUAGCCUAGUUGAUAUGGCAUCUGCCCAGUAAGCGGAACAUUAUGGGUUCGAUUCCCAUCUUUGGACA
Molecule: transfer RNA, 75 nt
Filed under: Cordylochernes scorpioides
Lineage: Eukaryota; Metazoa; Arthropoda; Arachnida; Pseudoscorpiones; Chernetidae
Description: tRNA-Thr
Rfam family: tRNA
About the family: Transfer RNA (tRNA) molecules are approximately 80 nucleotides in length. Their secondary structure includes four short double-helical elements and three loops (D, anti-codon, and T loops). Further hydrogen bonds mediate the characteristic L-shaped molecular structure. tRNAs have two regions of fundamental functional importance: the anti-codon, which is responsible for specific mRNA codon recognition, and the 3' end, to which the tRNAs corresponding amino acid is attached (by aminoacyl-tRNA synthetases). tRNAs cope with the degeneracy of the genetic code in two manners: having more than one tRNA (with a specific anti-codon) for a particular amino acid; and 'wobble' base-pairing, i.e. permitting non-standard base-pairing at the 3rd anti-codon position.
Source: RNAcentral